This 20-nucleotide microRNA is filed under the name Ciona intestinalis (vase tunicate). RNAcentral's name for it is "cin-miR-4033-3p". Lineage: Eukaryota; Metazoa; Chordata; Ascidiacea; Phlebobranchia; Cionidae. The record is from miRBase by way of RNAcentral.
UAAGUGCAUUGCGUGCUCCA